This 253-nucleotide ribosomal RNA is filed under the name uncultured bacterium. Its description in RNAcentral is "partial 16S ribosomal RNA". It matches the Rfam family "Bacterial small subunit ribosomal RNA", at positions 79 to 334 of the family's 1533-position model. The record is from RNAcentral.
CUUUCUUUGCUGGCGACCGGCGCACGGGUGAGUAACACGUAUCCAACCUGCCCUUUACUCGGGGAUAGCCUUUCGAAAGAAGAUUAAUACCCGAUAGCAUAAUGAUUCCGCAUGGUUUCAUUAUUAAAGGAUUCCGGUAAAGGAUGGGGAUGCGUUCCAUUAGGUUGUUGGUGAGGUAACGGCCCACCAAGCCUUCGAUGGAUAGGGGUUCUGAGAGGAAGGUCCCCCACAUUGGAACUGAGACACGGUCCAA